UUUGGGCAAAGUUGCCCCCACAAUAGACUAAAAUUGGAACAUUACAGAGAUUAGCAGGGCUCCUGUGCAAGGAUGAUAUGCAAAUUCGUGAAGCUCUCCGUAUCUUU
Artibeus jamaicensis (Jamaican fruit-eating bat) is the source of this 107-nucleotide small nuclear RNA. Lineage: Eukaryota; Metazoa; Chordata; Mammalia; Chiroptera; Phyllostomidae. The record is from RefSeq and is a predicted model, not a curated record.